CGGGUGCGUAACACGUGAGCAACCUUCCGAAAUAUGGGGGAUAGCCGGCCUAACGGCCGAGUAAUACCGCAUACGCUCUCGAUGAGGCAUUUCAUUGAGAGGAAACCUCCGGGGUAUUUCGAGGGGCUCGCGGCCUAUCAGCUAGUUGGCGAGGUAACGGUUCACCAAGGCAACGACGGGUAGCUGGUCUGAGAGGAUGGCCAGCCACAUUGGGACUGAGAUACGGCCCAG
Molecule: ribosomal RNA, 231 nt
Filed under: uncultured bacterium
Lineage: Bacteria
Description: partial 16S ribosomal RNA
Rfam family: Bacterial small subunit ribosomal RNA
Source: RNAcentral